Molecule: long non-coding RNA, 711 nt
Organism: Erinaceus europaeus (western European hedgehog)
Lineage: Eukaryota; Metazoa; Chordata; Mammalia; Eulipotyphla; Erinaceidae
Exons: 7
Source: RefSeq, a predicted model, not a curated record
CAGGUUGGAACAGGAGCCCAGUCAGAAAGAAUUUGGACCUACAAUUUUACCCAGAAUAGAGUCACUGACCACAGGGUAGGAUAUGAAGUCCAAGAUAUUAAGGUUCCUGCACAGCAUCAGAUGUGUCUGACUUCUAAGGAAAAUGAGACCCCAGACACAUUGAUGGGUCAGUUCAGCAAAAACAAGAGUGGCAUUCCUGUCUGGAGAGGGUGGAGAGGAAGAGAGUCAGACACCUAUAGCACCGCGUCAUAGCCCAUGAAGCUUCUCCAGAGCAGGUGGAAGCAGUGAAUUGAACCCAGGAGCCCUUCCAUCUGGAGCAGAUGACUUCAGAGACCACAGGGCAGCUGGUCCGCAAGGCUAGGCAGUAGAGAAGGAGCCAGCAGGGGAGAGGUUCAUGCACAGCAUCAGAUGUGUCUGACUUCUAAGGAAAAUGAGACUCCAGACACAUUGAUGGAUUUUGCCCAUUUGGCUUUGGCUGGAAUUCAAUUACUCUGCCGAUCCUUGUCUCAUCAUCUAAGCACUGCUCAACUCUGGCUCAUUUUAUGGUGGUGUGAGCUGCUGAGCCUGGGACUUUGGAGUGUCAGGUGUGAGAGUCUUUUUGCAGAACCAAUGUGCUCUCUACACCUGCUGGAACAGUGAACUCUUUGUGUCAAAUUCUUCUCAAGAGAACAUACCAGAGCAUCAUUCUGGCACAUUCAGUGCUGGAACCAA